AUUGAACGCUGGCGGAAUGCUUUACACAUGCAAGUCGAACGGCAGCACGGGAGCUUGCUCCUGGUGGCGAGUGGCGAACGGGUGAGUAACGCGUCGGAACGUACCGAGUAAUGGGGGAUAACGCAGCGAAAGCUGUGCUAAUACCGCAUACGCCCUGAGGGGGAAAGUGGGGGAUCGCAAGACCUCACGUUAUUCGAGCGGCCGACGUCUGAUUAGCUUGUUGGUGAGGUAAUGGCUCACCAAGGCGACGAUCAGUAGCGGGUCUGAGAGGAUGAUCCGUCACACUGGAACUGAGACACGGUCCAGACUCCUACGGGAGGCAGCAGUGGGGAAUUUUGGACAAUGGGGGAAACCCUGAUCCAGCCAUUCCGCGUGAGUGAAGAAGGCCUGGUUGUAAGUACGUCUUCUAGCU
Molecule: ribosomal RNA, 412 nt
Filed under: uncultured bacterium
Lineage: Bacteria
Description: bacterial SSU rRNA
Rfam family: Bacterial small subunit ribosomal RNA
Source: RNAcentral